RNAcentral lists this long non-coding RNA (4885 nucleotides) under Marmota monax (woodchuck). Lineage: Eukaryota; Metazoa; Chordata; Mammalia; Rodentia; Sciuridae. The record is from RNAcentral.
GCAGGGGCCCGCGCCGGCCCGCAGCGCGGAAAGCGGGGCUCCGGGCCUCGCUCACCCGCCGCUCUGCGCGGAGCUCAGGCGAAAGCUCCCUCCCAGGCCGCCCUUCCACCGCGCGGAAGCCGGCUGGCCGCGGUGCUCCCGGUGCAGGUACAGAAACGGGCGUUCUGCCAUCGGUGAGAGCCCGGACGGCGGAAGGCUGGGCCGCAGGAGGAAGCCGCUGUCAGCCGCAGUCCGUGGCCCCUACGGCCUUUGAAGAGAAGCCAUCAGUCUAGGUUGUGUGGCGUGUAAACAGCCAGGUUCGGUUCGCUGCAGGCUGCAAGUCGGCUGACCUGGUAGCCAGGGUCCAUCGUCCUGAGUCUAGGAGAUUAGUAAUUAGAGUGCUGUUAGGCUUGUUGAUGCAAUUGCUUGGCUGAGAAAAAUGCGAGGAGGCAGCUUCUGUGGAUCGUGGAUUUCCGUUAUUAAUUAGGAUGGGAAUAAGAGCCGGUGUGCUUAUUCCCGCAGUGCACGACGGCAGUGCACUCCUGUAGUUCCAGGGACUCAGGAGGCUGAGGCAGGAGGAUGGCAAUUCAAGGGCAGCCUCAGCUAUUUAGCGAGGCCCUAAACAACUUAGUGAGACCCUGUCUCAAAAAAUAAAAAGGAGUGGAGAUGUAGCUCAGUGGUUUAGCACCCCUGGGUUCAAUCCCAUUACAAAAAAAAAAAAAAAAAGUGUAUAUAUUUGUGUAUGCUCGCUCGCGCGCUCUCUCUCUCUCUCUCUCUCUCUCUCUCUCUCUCUCUCGGACUUAUUUCUAGUCUUACUCAGAUGAGAAGUCAAUAAGAACUAAGCAGGGCAAUUAUAGUUCCUGAGAAUAAAUAUAAUAGUAGAGGAGGUUAGGGGGUUAAUUAGUACCUAAACAAUAAAGAACGUUUUUAGAUUGUGGGCCAGAUAGCUUAUUUACUGACCUUUCUAGAAAACCGUGGUAUACUAGAUUGCAGGAAGAAUUUGGGAUUCUUAGGAUUAGGUUCAAGUCCAAUAGUUCUAGAAAUAUGAGGAUUUGAACCUCAUGAUUUACUCAAAGUAACUCAUUUGUCAGUUUGUGGAGAAUGCUUCUUAUAAUAAGCAUAAAGAUAAUGUUAUAAGGCUGGAGUGUAAGGUAAAAGAAAUUUUUCAAACUAAGUAUAGAAGUUGAUCAUAUCAGAAUUAGGGUAAGAUUCUUGAAUUCAUGGGAAUACUGAGGUCAGGAUUAGUUUUUUGGUUUUUUGUUUUGUUUUAUUUUUAGUUGUCAAUGGACCUUUAAGUUUUUUUUUUAUUUAUUAAUAUGUGGUGCUGAGAAUCGAACCCAGUGCCUCACACAUGCUAGGCAAGAAGAGCUCUGCUACUGAGCCCCAGCCCCAGGAUUAGUUUUAGUAAUAAAAUCUAGAGUAAAGGUUUCAGGUAUUAGGGGGCUAUAAAGUACUCGUAGAAAAAAAAAAUUGUUGUUAAAGCAUUUAUCAUAAUAAUAAUGGUACACUCAGCUAAUAAAAAGGGUGAAAGGGCCUGCAGCAUAUUCUGUGUUAAAGCCUGACACAAGUUCUGAUUUUCCUGUGAAGUCAAAUGGGGCUUGGCGUUUGUUUCUGUUAAUGUUGAGAUAAAUCUUAUUAUCACAAGAGAUUUUGAUGGUAGUCAUAUAUUGUUGGGUUGUGGUAAGGAUAGAUAGACUAAAUGACCCAAUUUUUAGUAAGACUUUUAGAAUAAUAGCUAGGAUUACUUUAUAAAUAGAGUGUGUUUGUGUAAAGCUUAUAGGGCUCUAAUUAAUGCGUAUUUAAAAUUAGUCUCAUCCUGAUCAUAAUAGCAUAGACAGGCUUGAUGCGGCAAGAAUAACAAGGCAAUAUUCCUUAAUCUUUCCCCUUUGUGCACAGAUAAUAAGCCUGUCAGGCCUCAUGUUUCCCCUGUCAACAGUAAAGCUGAUUCUUUUUUCGGUGUUUUAAAUUAAAAGUAAAUUCGUGAGGGCUAGGGAUACAGCUCAGUGGGUAGAGUACUUGUCUUGCAUGCACAAGGCCCUGGGUUCUAACCCCCAGCACCAUACAAAAAAAGUUAAAAUCUUGAACCACAGAAAAAACAGAAAUAAACUCGUGAGGUCAGUUUUUCAUUCUUGGCUCGGGGUCUGCCACAUUAAGAGAUGUGCCAAGGUGAGUUCAGGUUCUCGGCUUGGUGCUUUAGGCUAUUAAGUAUCAUUUGUACCUCACAGUUGAACGGCCAUGGGUAUGCAGGGGCUUCUCAGGCCCCUCAAGGUUUCUUAUGAUAAAUGUUUUAACAUUUUUCCUCUGCCUCUUUAGAGUUGAAGACUUGUUGCUACAUCUCAGUACCCAUGUUCUUAUAAAAGGGUUUUUGGUUUUGGGGUUUUUUGUGGUAUAGAAGCACUUUACCACUGAGCCACAUCCCCAGCUCUUUUUAUUUAUUUUUUUAAAUAUUUUUAUUAGUUGUUGAUGAACCUUUAUUUUUUUAUUUAUUUAUAUGUGGUGCUGAGACUUGCCUCACACAUGCUAGGCAGGCGCUCUAACAUUGAGCCACAACCCCAGUCCUUUAUUUUUAUUUUGAGAUGGGAUCUCACUAAGUUGCUGAGGUUGGCCUUGAACUUGUGAUCCUUCUGCCUCAGUCUCCUGAGCCACUGGGAUUACAGGAAUGCACUACUGUGUCCAGCUCUCCAUUUUGUUCUUUAUAGCAGGUUUGAUUGAUUGCCAGUCUUUUUAUGGACAGAUUCUCCUUUUGAAUGACAGCAAGAGCCUGUAGAGUGAAACAGCAGAAUGCAGUGCUCGGGGCAGAAUUUAGAGGCUAGGAGGCUUUUUGUUCUUAUAUAGCAGUCCCUACCUAAUCUUUGGUUUCUCUUUUCUUAAUUUCAGUUACUCAUGUUCAACCACAGUCCAAAAAUAAUGAAUGUAAAAUUCCAAUAUAAUUCAUAAGUUUUAAAUUGCACACUGUUCUGAGUAGCAUGAUGAAAUCUCCUCUUGUCCCACUCUGUACUACCUGAGUCAUCCCAUUGUCCAACAGAUCCAUACUGUAUAUACUGCCUAUCUGUUAGCCACUUGGUAGCUGUCUCAAUUAUCAGAUUGACUGUUAAGGUAUUGCAAAGCUUAUGUUCAAAUAACACUUAUCUUACUUAGUGAUGGCCCCAAAAUGAAAUAAUAGUGAUAUUGACAAUUUGGACAUGCUAAAAAUAAGCCAUAAAAUACUUAAGUUCUUGACUUAAUAGAAAAGAAAAAAUUUAAGUUGAGGUUCUAAGAUCUACAGUACAAUAAAAUAUUUUGAAACAUAACUUUUUAGUGUAUUAUAAUUAUCCUAUUUUUAGUUAUUAUGGUUAAUCCCCUAUACUCUUUCUAAUUUAUAAAUUAAAUGAAAUCAUAUAUAUAUAUAUAUAUAUAUAUAUAUAUAUAUAUAUAUGGAAAACAGUAAUUUAUAGGGUUUAGUCAUUACAGCUUCAGGCCUCCACCAGGGAUCUUGAGUAAGGGACACUUAUUCAAAUGAGGAACACUACAGUAUUCCUGUCUCACUUCAUUUCUAACCCAUCAAAAUCUCAACCUUAUGCCAAAACCAUCUUCAGCCAGUGUACUCCAGAGCAUGCCAGCCUUGAACAAUAGAUAUGUAUGUUAAUUUACCUAAUCCUUACAGAAAUUUUAUAAGACAGUAAACAUAAACCAGAGAGGCCGAAUAACUUGCCAAAGGUCACCUAACUAGUAAAGGCCAUAUGAUAGGAGGAAGAAACAGUAAUAAAAAUUAAAAACUGAAGAGGAAACAACAUCAAUAAAUACUAGGUUUAGACCUACAUACAGAAUGUAUUUUGUUAAAGGUCAGAGACAGUUUCAUCUUCCAGACCCAAAUGAGGGGAAAAAAGAGGCAAAACAUCAGUUUCUUCCUUUUCAAGGAGAAAGGGAAGCACUAUUACAAUGUCUUUUUAUUUUACUUUUUUUAAAGAGAGAGAAGAGAAUUUUUUAAUAUUUAUUUUUCAGUUUUCAGUGGAUACAACAUCUUUAUUUUUAUGUGGUGCUGAGGAUCGAACCCAGAGCCUCGAACAGCCCGGCGAGCGUUUUACCACUUGAGCCACAUCCCCAGCCCAAUGUCUUUUUAUUUAUGACAUGCUAGCAAGUUAUCUUUGUUUUUAAUUUUCUUAUAUUAACAAUAAUAAAAUGCUAAAAGCACUAUAUAUACAGUCUUAGUAACAUUUUUUUAAAUUACCAGAUGUGAUAUAUAGUCUGCAAAGUAUAAGAAUGCAGCUCAGUACUGUCCUGGUGAUGUGAAGGAUCUUUGCAUCGUGAUAGCAGCCCCAGUUCAUGUUUGCUAAAUUAAAGGGGAGAAGUAAAACAUUAUCCUUUCCUUCCAAAGAAGGUGUUUAAGUAGAUGGGACCUAAGUUAAACCAGAGAAAUAAGGGUAAGAGACAGAGGUAACCUGAAGGCACAGAAGGGAAGCACUUAGUAAGGGGAGAGUGAACAGAAGCAGGGAAUAGAUAGGCACACUCUCAGGCAGAGUCCUAACAGAUGCUUUCCUCUGUGGGCCACUCACUGCAAGAGGUCUAGACUGGACCCUUUUUCUCUAUUGUCAAGACCUGGUUCUCCAAUUCGGAAGAUCCUAGCCACACGUGGCUAUUGAACACCUAAAAUGUAGCCAGUAAUAAAAAUUAAAAACUGAAGAGGAAACAACAACAUCAAAUACUAGGUUUAGACCUACAUACAGAAAAUCUUGGAAGCUAGAAGGGAAAAAAAAAUUGUAUAGAGGAGCAAGAAUUAAAUUGGACUUCAGGAAGCAUGAAGAGAGUAGAGUGAAAUAUUUAAAAUGCUGAAAGGAAAAAAACAAGAAUUCUUUAUACAGAGAAUUAUCUUUCAAAAGUGAAAAAAAAAAUAAAGAUUUUAACAAAAAUGGAGGGAAUUUGUUGCCAG